UGUGUGGGCAUUUUUCGUGAGAGCCUGUGCCUGGUAAGUAGCAGGGGCGAGUAGAAUGGUAGUCGGGCACACAAUCCAGGCUCUUCUCAGGAUCAACUCAGGACUGUGAGAGGCAAAUUGGCUCAUUUCCAAGUCAGCAAAGCUUUGAUCCUUAUUCGCCACUACCUCAUGAGCUCUUUGGCCUACAGGAAAGCAAUUAUCAAGGACACUCCCUCUUCAUCCCUGGAUUCUCUCGAGGAAUCCUUGCUGCUGGGCCUGUGAGGGAUUUUUAUUUCAGCACAUGCUCGGGAUCAACUCCGUUUGUAGGAACCAGGUGUUUCAAGUUGACGUAGGGCUGUUGAGUGGCUGCGCCAGCUAGCACUGCUCCUAAAGUUUUGGAAAUCCUUUUCCUUGAAAGAGAAGGAGAAGUAGCAAGUGCCACCGCAAGCAUCACCUGGUUUAGCUUCGUUUUUAGAUCGAGUUUCCAAGAGUUUGAGGGCCGGUCUCAACGAUGCUGUGCUGGGAUGCUGUGCCAGGUAACCUGAUGCUGGCAUAGGAGCAGCACUUGUGGCUGCAGCUCAAAAUUGCAAAGCUGUGGGUUAUGAGGUAGAGAUUGGUAAACACAAUAUUGGAGUUAUUUUGUUGUUCUUGAGUGUGCUUCGCAAAAGUCUAAUAUUUUCCUUUCAGAUCAUUACAUAGUUGUGAAAUUUAUAUAUAUCCAACUGUAGUCUGCAUUUCUAUUCUGCA
This is a long non-coding RNA of Selaginella moellendorffii, 726 nucleotides long. RefSeq lists it as uncharacterized. The transcript is spliced from 2 exons. The record is from RefSeq and is a predicted model, not a curated record. Lineage: Eukaryota; Viridiplantae; Streptophyta; Lycopodiopsida; Selaginellales; Selaginellaceae.